UAACUUGGCAAAAUACUUUCCCGCCUACAGUUAUCCAAUAAAAUCUUCACGAUUUUGUCAUUUGUCAGUGUUAUUGAAUAGUUUGUGAAAAGCAGCGAGUGUGGGGCAGUCAGACACUCUCCUCUGACAGUGAAGGUGUCUGAUGGUGGAUGUUGUAGCCUCAGGGUGACAUCUUGGAUAAUGCCCUGAACUCUGACUGCAGGCUGCAUUAUUCAUCAGCAGGAAUCACAGGCUUCAUGUUUUAUUUAUCACAGCAGCAACUGAAACUCCACUCAAGACACAAACACUCAGUUUAUGACCGAAAAAGCAGACAUCAGAUACUCCGCUGACACAGGGGAGGGUUUAGUGACCUUUGCUUAUGUUUACAUCUGAGAAAAACUUUCUGGCUUCGUGUCAGUCACCGUAGAGGUUUGUGGUAUGAUCAGAAAUUCAAAUCACGUUGCAUCAAUGUGUGACUGUGCAUGAGAGCAGAGAGACUUUUUUAUAAACCACUGUGUUCAGUUCUCAGCAGGUUGUAGCUUCUGACUAAAUCUGUGUGAUCUGAAUCUUCAUUUCUCUUCUAUCUGCCUGUUGAAUUAUUUCUGUAGUAUUUUCAACAUACGCUGCAGAGAUACAAACAACCCUGCAGCCACAGGUGAAGAGAGGAGAGCAAGGAGAGGAGCAGGCGGAGGAGAGUGUAGGUGUUUGGUGUGCAUCUGAAAAGCAUAUAGAGAUCGAUCUGUAUCACAAUAAAAUGCAAACCUGAUGGUGCAUUUACACCAAGCACAAACUUAUUCCCGCAAGUGAAUUACAUGUUAAGUCUGUGUAAGGAUUAGGGGUGGGAAUCACAAGUGGCCCGACGAUACGAUAUUUUCACGAUACUUCGGCCACGAUACCAUAUUAUUGCGAUUUUUAAAAUUUUGCAAUACAGUGAGUAUUGUGAUACAAUAUAUCGCAAUUUAUAUAAUAUUUUCGACUGUUUCGCAAAUUCAGCAUUUGUCUUUCCUUUAUGUUUGUUUUAUUUACGCUGUACUUUAGUUUCAUGUAGCACAUCUUGCUAACCUUGCAGUAUUUGUUGUACUAACUUUCUCCUGCUCUAUGAUGUCACCUCUGCCAACCUCACUGGACAAACAGUUGAUUUUAUUUGUACAUUACCAUAGAUUUGACUUCAUAUUAGCAAUUAGUUUGAAAAAUGGAUACUUGGUAAAUAAGAUGAUACGAUACAUCACCAGACAAAAUAUCGCAAUAUUAUGCUGUAUCGAUUUUUUCUCCCACCCCUCGUAAAGAUGCAUGUUCUUGUCGACGCCAAUGAAAUCCGAACACAAACCUAAUCCUUGCCUUGAAUCAGCAAGAUGACAGAUGUAAGAAUUUAAAACAAUUUCAAACCAGAUCACUUUGUAUUUUCUCCUUUCAGGGGUAUGAAGAGGUGAAACUCGGUUGGGCUGGUGGGAAAGAAUCAGAGUUCAGGCCUUAAGAGGAUCAGUCUCUGAAAGGCUUCAUGUCCCGAACAUGAGACUUCAAUUAUUGAUCAGCAGAGCCUGUGAGUAAAGCCUGUGGUCUAUUAUUUAUCUGCAGACUGGGUGUUGUGUAACACAAUCGACCCUCUUGCUGCUCGAUGCACCCCUAACAAAAAUACAAGUAUGACCAGGAUUGUUUUAAGGAGAACCGGGGAAAUUAAAAUGUUACUAAGAGUGAAAUUAAGAUCAAGAAAAGAGCAUGAAGAGCUGCUACACUGAUUUUUUUUCUUUUACUGGCACAUUAACAGAAAUAUCCACGUGCAUCUUACAACCAAUCCUGACUCAGGCUCUGUCACCAGCUAAAAUCUGAAGCUGAAAUAUGCCUCUGGGAGUAACGGUGAACUUUUCUAGAGUUCAAGUGCAGUCAGCAGCUGGUGACGACUGACCUUCGGCCAGGACAUCUCUGUCAGUGCAGAGCAUAGAGAACCUCAUCCCCUCACAUUUGCAAACCAAACAUUAUCUUUUCUUGGCUCAUUAUUACAUCCCCAGAGAAGCACCUGCUCCUCUGUUUCUGGUGAGUCUCAGUUUCACAGUGGAUGGUUAGUUGUGCAGAGGCUUCACUCUGGCUUUCUUCAGAAGUAUGAACCCAAUACAGAAAACUACUUUCUUACAAAUUUGAUAGUCAAGCUUUGUCAGGUCUGUUCUAAAGAUGAAAUAAAACCAACUAUCAUCCCAAUCAUUCUAGGAAGUCAGUAAAUCUAAACACUGAUCGACUCUUGUAACAGGACGUCGAGCAGAUGUUUCUCAAGUUAAAAUAUUCGAUGUGGGACAGAUUCUUGGUACAAACUUUCAUGCAGAUGUACUGUAGAAAGACUACAGCUGAUCUGUUCCAGGAUGUCAUUACUAUGGAUUGUGUUACUCAUGUUCUCUCUCUUCUUAUUACCAUUAUUUGAUGAGACAGCUGAAGACAGACAAGAAAGACAGAGAGAAGGAUUA
Non-coding RNA from Xyrichtys novacula (pearly razorfish), 2432 nucleotides. The record is from the annotation of a GenBank genome assembly. NCBI's taxonomy places the organism in Eukaryota, Metazoa, Chordata, Actinopteri, Labriformes, Labridae.